This 556-nucleotide long non-coding RNA is filed under the name Capsella grandiflora. Its description in RNAcentral is "long non-coding RNA (CGRA_LNC001012)". The record is from RNAcentral. Lineage: Eukaryota; Viridiplantae; Streptophyta; Magnoliopsida; Brassicales; Brassicaceae.
GAACAUCUACUGAGUAGGCAUAUAUAUAUAGUGGUCGUGCUGAUACCAUAGAAACAUAUGCGCAAAUCAUUUGUCAUUUGUCCAACUUUUGCGUAAUGAUCUCCGACGACUCGACUACGAAUUAUCUAUUUAACCAACGAAUUACAACGUAAGAGAUUUUUUUGUUUGUCGUAACUAUGUUUUACCUAUUUACUAAACUAAAACGAAGAAUCGAUCUCACAUGACACAGGGGAGUUUGUGAUCGAUGUUUUGGAGUUUUACCAUUGACGGCUCAGUCUCAGACCUCCUGCGAAAGGUUUCCAUAGCUAAUCACUAGUUUAAGGUGUCUUACAAUUUGCUUUUACUCUUCUCCUUUUGCAACUCAUCCGGGAAGGACAUCAUAAAUAUCAUCGCUUCAUUUUGUUCCCAAAGCUUCUUGGCUUGGUUGAGUAGAUGGACCAAAAUUUUGGUUUAAUUACCAUCUUAUGCUUUAAUGUUUUUAUUAUUUUUUUGUCAUGAAACCAUAUGUAUACAAUUCAAUUUCUUAGAUUGUAACGUAAACCAUUUUCAUUAAUAA